This is a long non-coding RNA of Juglans microcarpa x Juglans regia, 1035 nucleotides long. RefSeq lists it as uncharacterized. The record is from RefSeq and is a predicted model, not a curated record. NCBI's taxonomy places the organism in Eukaryota, Viridiplantae, Streptophyta, Magnoliopsida, Fagales, Juglandaceae. The transcript has 2 exons.
CUAAUAUUUGGCGAUAUCACUUGAAUCUAUAAUAUUUCUGGUUUAUUUCUCUCGGUCCAUUUCCUAUAACAAGAUGGUGUCGUGUCCUUAAUAGCAAUAUGAUGUAGGCAUGGAAAUUCCGCACUUGAUAGCAAUAUGGUGCUUAUUUUGUUUGAAAUGGGAGAAAUGUGAUGAUGGCCAAUGUCUUUUGAGAUGCAUUCAUCUAGAGAUUUUCACAUCAAUGGCCUGUCACAAAUAAUGUGGCAACGACAGGCUCGAAAUCAAUGCACGAUGUUACAAGUAUUAAUGAAAAUGAAGGGUAAACAUGAUGGUUACAUCAUAUGAGAUGGGCAAUUCAUGGUGUAUAAGGUUAGUGAUGGUUUAUGAUAUUCAUGCUUUUGAUUUUUUUCCCUCGGAAUUUAUUUUGCUGUUAAAUUGGGCAGGGAACAUAUGGUAACGUGUACAAAGCUAGAGAUACAUUGACGGGUAAACUUGUUGCGCUGAAAAAGGUUCGUUUUGAAAAACCUGAGAGUGUGAGAUUUAUGGUUAGGGAGAGAUUCAUUUUGCGGCGUUUGGAUCAUCCCAAUGUUGUGAAGUUAAGAAGGUUUGGCUACAUCGAGAAUGCACUGUAGUUUGUACCUGGUCUUUCAGUACAUGGAGCAUGAUUUAGCUGGCCUUGCUGCUAGUCCGGGAAUUAGAUUUACAGAGGAGAGGCUCAGGUCAAAUGUUGCAUGCAUCAAUUACUAUCUGGAGUUGAGCACUGUCACAACCAUGGAGUGCUUCACCGUGACAUUAAAGGAUCAAAUCUUCUUAUUGACAAUAGUGGAAUACUAAAGAUUGCUGACUUUGGGUUGGCUUCUACCUCCGAUCCAAACCAAAACGCACCAUGACUAGGUUGUCACUCUUUGGUAUCGACCUCCUGAACUUCUUGGCUACUGAUUAUGGAGAGGUUGCAUUUUAGCUGAGCUAUUGGCUAGAAAACCAAUUUACUCUCUCGUCUCUCUUUGUUUCUUCAUUUGCAGUAUCAUAUUAUAUAUAUAUAUAGGUCAAUUCUCU